This 492-nucleotide ribosomal RNA is filed under the name uncultured bacterium. RNAcentral's name for it is "partial 16S ribosomal RNA". It matches the Rfam family "Bacterial small subunit ribosomal RNA", at positions 29 to 507 of the family's 1533-position model. The record is from RNAcentral.
AGUGAACGCUGGCGGUAGGCCUAACACAUGCAAGUCGAACGGCAGCACAGUAAGAGCUUGCUCUUACGGGUGGCGAGUGGCGGACGGGUGAGGAAUACAUCGGAAUCUACUUUUUCGUGGGGGAUAACGUAGGGAAACUUACGCUAAUACCGCAUACGACCUACGGGUGAAAGCAGGGGAUCUUCGGACCUUGCGCGAUUGAAUGAGCCGAUGUCGGAUUAGCUAGUUGGCGGGGUAAAGGCCCACCAAGGCGACGAUCCGUAGCUGGUCUGAGAGGAUGAUCAGCCACACUGGAACUGGGACACGGUCCAGACUCCUACGGGGGGCAGCAGUGGGGAAUAUUGGACAAUGGGCGCAAGCCUGAUCCGGCCAUACCGCGUGGGUGAGGAAGGCCUUCGGGUUGUAAAGCCCUUUUGUUGGGAAAGAAAAGCAGCAGGUUAAUACCCCGCCGUUCUGACGGUACCCAAAGAAUAAGCACCGGCUAACUUCGUG